This is a non-coding RNA of Arabidopsis thaliana (thale cress), 185 nucleotides long. NCBI's taxonomy places the organism in Eukaryota, Viridiplantae, Streptophyta, Magnoliopsida, Brassicales, Brassicaceae. The record is from RefSeq.
ACUGAGCGGCGAUGUAUAAGGUUGUUGGUGUCUGUUGUUUUGUGGGAUUUAAAGUAUAUUGUUGUCUACAUGAUGCUAGACAAGAUAGCUAAAGACAAAGUUGGUUGGAUAUAUAAUGGAUGAAAAAAGGAGCCAAAUGUCGCAAACGAUUUUUUGUUGAUAAAAGUGUUGGAUCGAUUGGUGCC